GAUGAACGCUGGCGGCGUGCCUAAUACAUGCAAGUCGAGCGAACGGACGCGAAGCUUGCUUUUCUGAUGUUAGCGGCGGACGGGUGAGUAACACGUGUAUCACCUACCUAUCAGUCUGGGACCACUUCGGGACACCGGCGCUAAUACCGGAUAAUCUUUUGAACCGCAUUGUUCAAUAGUGAAAGACGGUCUUUCUGUCACUUCUAGCUGGAUCCGGGCUGCAUUAGCUAGUUGGUAAGGUAACGGCUUACCAAGGCAACGAUGCAUAGCCGACCUGAGAGGGUGAUCGGCCACACUGGAACUGAGACACGGUCCAGACUCCUACGGGAGGCAGCAGUAGGGAAUCUUCCGCAAUGGGCGAAAGCCUGACGGAGCAACGCCGCGUGAGUGAUGAAGGUCUUCGGAUCGUAAAACUCUGUUAUUAGGGAAGAACAGAUGUGUAAGUAACUGUGCACAUCUUGACGGUACCUAAUCAGAAAGCCACGGCUAACUACGUG
This 497-nucleotide ribosomal RNA is filed under the name uncultured bacterium. RNAcentral describes it as "partial 16S ribosomal RNA". It matches the Rfam family "Bacterial small subunit ribosomal RNA", at positions 28 to 507 of the family's 1533-position model. The record is from RNAcentral.